Molecule: long non-coding RNA, 1625 nt
Organism: Paramormyrops kingsleyae
Lineage: Eukaryota; Metazoa; Chordata; Actinopteri; Osteoglossiformes; Mormyridae
Source: RefSeq, a predicted model, not a curated record
GCCAACAAUCACGGCCAGUCUUUCCAACGGACGCAGAGACUUUUUAAAAAGCUUUUUUGAAAUUAUUGAAACACUUGCGAUCUUUGUUUCUUUCUGAAUGUUCUCAAAGAUCCGAUCGCCGCUUGUAAGCAGGCAAAAUCAAAAAAACAGGAAAAUCGAAAUCAAAAACAGGAGCAUAUUGAUACAAGCAGCAUUCGGUCCGGACACAUUAACCUUUGGAAGAGCGCCCUCCUGCCGGAGCGCCCCCUUUGUCUCUUUCGGGGUGUAGGAGCAGCGCCUUACUGAAAGGCCAGGCGGAAUGCGGCUUUGGCAGCUACUGAAGCAAAAACUUGGGUGUGGGAGGAGUUUGGUGAGGCCAUGGAGAAGGACCAAGAAAAGAUUCUGGCAAACCGUCAGGCGAACUCAAGAGGGGGGAAGCAGGGCUUUACCCAUGCUAAUUACGGCAGGGAUGGAGAACUGACGACCUUAAAUGGGGAUAUAGUCAGGUGGUAGUAGAAGGAUUCUGAAGACCUUCUGAAUCCCUCUGAUACACCUUCCAUGGAGGAAGUAUAGCUGGAAGACUGAAAGGAAGACUUACCCAUCACUAGGACCAAGGUCAUUGGAGUAGUCAAAAAAAAACUCUUCGGUGGUAAGGCUCCGGGGGAUAGAUGAGUUUCACCCUGAAUUCUUAAAACCUCUUGAUGCUGUUGGGCUGCCUUGGUUGACACGCCUCUUCAGCAUUGCGUGGAAGUCGGGGAUAGUGCCUUUGGAUUGGCAGACCAGAGGAUGGGUUCCAACUUUAGGGGGAUUACACUCCUCAGCCUCCCUGAUAGAACCUUGGAUCCAGGAUGAUUAACGCGGAUUAUAUCCUGGUCAUAGAAUGCUGGACCAGCUGGUGGGGAAUGAGUUGAUCUUGGGGUCUUGUUUACGAGUGAGGGAAGAAGAGAGUGCGAGAUCGACAGGCAGACUGGCGCAGCGUAAGCAGUAAUGCAGACGCUGCACCAUUCGGUCAUGAUAAAGAUGGAGCUGAGUCACAAGGCAAAGCUUUUGAGUUUCCAGUUGAUUUACGCUCCUACCCUCAUCUAUGGUCACAAGCUUUGCAUAGUUCCCUUCGCAGAGUGUCUGGGCUCGGCCUUAGAGAGGGUGAGGAGCUCAGACAAUCAGGAGGGGCUCAAAGUAGAGCCACUGCUCCUCCGCAUCGAAAGGAGCCAGUCGAGGUGGUUCGGGUAUCUAUCUAGGAUGCCUCUUGAAUGGCUCACUAGGGAGGUGUUUGGGGCUUGUCCAACCAGGAGGAGGCCCUGGGGCAGACCCAGGACACACUGGAGAGAUCAUAUCUCUUGGCUGGUCUGAGAACACCUUGGUAUCCCCUGGAGAAGCUGGCUAGGGAGAGGGAGGUCUGGGCAUCCCUAAUUAGAUUGCUGCCCAGUGACACAUGAUGGAUGGGUGGAUGGAUGGAUAGAUUUAUUUCUUUCCACACUACCAUACAGGCAAGACUUAUUCUAAACCCAAUGACUAACGAUAAAUUAACUAACAACACUGAUUGGUGCACUUCACUCAGACAAUGAACUCUGUAACUCUGUAAAAAAGUGACUGUUUCCCUCUCAUUGGCUCAAGUCUACUUGUUCAUAAACUGAACGUCUAAUGUU